Molecule: long non-coding RNA, 997 nt
Organism: Brassica oleracea var. oleracea
Lineage: Eukaryota; Viridiplantae; Streptophyta; Magnoliopsida; Brassicales; Brassicaceae
Exons: 3
Source: RefSeq, a predicted model, not a curated record
CAAAGACUAGUUGGAUGGAUAAAACGACCAGCGACUUUGCAAAAAAGUUUUAGACAAAGCUCUGAGGUCGUUUCAAUGGCUUAAAGUUAUAUAAGGCUUUAGAAGAGUCUAGACAAUAUAUUUCUACCCACGGCUUAUGAAGGUCUAGACAACUAUAACCAACGGCUUACAAAGAAACCUUAGACAAUAUUGCUCCCCAUGACCAGCGGCUUAAAGAAGUCUUGAGACAGAGACUAUAUACCCGAAAACUAAUUCUUCACAACAACCACAAGGCUUAAAAAUCACUAGACAAAGAACAAACAAAAAGAUCAGUUUAAAACAAAGAGCAAAAACAGACUCCUUACUAAAGUUAAGCCUUGUCAAAGCUUUUAGAAAAAAGACUACAAGUUUUUGGCUUGUUGGAUGGUAAAAACGACCAACAACUUAAACCAAUUUCAAGAUAGAGACUAAACCAAAUCGAGUUUUAGCUUGUUUGGAUGGUAAAAACGACCAACAGCUUAAACCAUGUCUUAAGACACUAUGAACCAAAAAUUGAUUCCUCACCUCACUAUGUCCGGCUUAGGAAGUCCCUAUACAAAGACUUAUGUCAUAGUUACUACUUACAGGGUAAUAACUCACAAGAUAAUUUUUUUUUGAACUUAAAGACUAAUUAGUUAUGAUUUCCUCAGGUUUUGUAUGUGCUUCAGAAGACUCAGAGAUGAUUUCAAGUGUAUCAGAUUUUUUUAACCAGGUAUGUGCUUUUCAAACUUGUUUGUUACUUAGUCGAUACAUUCAAUUAUGAAAAUCACAAGCAGGAGAGACUGAUAUGAAGUGAAGACUAAUUACAUUUGUUUAGGUACGUUCUUCACAAACUGUUCAUAUCUUCAUUGACGCCAAGGAUUUACCCAGUUUCGUCUGACUCCAACAAGAGGUUCGUGUAUGAUGUUGGAGCUUAUAAUAGUGAUGAUGAUAAAGCUGACCAAAACGGAAUGAGAGAUUUCUUGAACGAGAUGGCGGC